GAUGAACGCUGGCGGCGUGCUUAACACAUGCAAGUCGAACGGUGAAGCAGAGCUUGCUCUGUGGAUCAGUGGCGAACGGGUGAGUAACACGUGAGCAACCUGCCCCUGACUCUGGGAUAAGCGCUGGAAACGGCGUCUAAUACUGGAUAUAAGCUGCGACCGCAUGGUCAGCAGUUGGAAAGAUUUUUCGGUCUGGGAUGGGCUCACGGCCUAUCAGCUUGUUGGUGAGGUAAUGGCUCACCAAGGCGUCGACGGGUAGCCGGCCUGAGAGGGUGACCGGCCACACUGGGACUGAGACACGGCCCAGACUCCUACGGGAGGCAGCAGUGGGGAAUAUUGCACAAUGGGCGAAAGCCUGAUGCAGCAACGCCGCGUGAGGGAUGACGGCCUUCGGGUUGUAAACCUCUUUUAGCAGGGAAGAAGCGAAAGUGACGGUACCUGCAGAAAAAGCGCCGGCUAACUACGUG
Molecule: ribosomal RNA, 467 nt
Filed under: uncultured bacterium
Lineage: Bacteria
Description: partial 16S ribosomal RNA
Rfam family: Bacterial small subunit ribosomal RNA
Source: RNAcentral